CACCCGCUGAUGACGAGUUUUGCAGGCGUAGGGCGGGAAGCGCCAGAGGCGGGGGAAGGCGAGGGUCAUUCCCAGUACCCGCCCCCCCGGGCUGCAUCCUUCGCAAGUAGGAAACGGCGGAAGAGGUCUGAGUCCUGUGCGGUUCAACAGGGAAGCAUGGUCUCCGCUCAGCUGUCCGUGCACAAUGGACUCAGUAUCUGCCGCCGUGCCUUCUGUGGCCGCUUCUCCCGGGAACCCCAAGCUUCUGGGACCCCUGACGGUGCUCUACGCAGCCCUCGUAGGGAGGGACCCCGCUGUGGCCGGCGGGUGGCUGAGUGGUGAGCGGAGUGGCUGCACUGACUGAGGACGACGGGGAAAUGGAGCGUGUCAGGCCCGGGCAGGCAGCACCGAGCUGUAUUGCUAAGCGAGCCGCUAGUUGCCACAUUGCCCAAUGGUGUUCAGCCUGGGCCUGAUUUUUAUGGACUGCUGUGGAAGCCUGUACUUCUCCCUGUCUUCUUGGGAAUUGUUUCAUUGGCCAUUUUCUUCUGGAGAACUAUUCUUGUUGUCAAAGAAACAGUAUAUCAAGUUACUGAACGGCAAUUUUCUGAAAAGUUAAAAAAUACGGAAGCUCCAAGUCCCGGAACCAGGGCGGGAUGCUCCGGCCCGCAAGCGGCUUCAGGGACCAGGACAGGGCAGCCAGAGACUUCCCCAAGCAGCC
Long non-coding RNA from Sciurus carolinensis (gray squirrel), 697 nucleotides. RefSeq lists it as uncharacterized. Lineage: Eukaryota; Metazoa; Chordata; Mammalia; Rodentia; Sciuridae. The record is from RefSeq and is a predicted model, not a curated record. The transcript is spliced from 4 exons.